Long non-coding RNA from Bradysia coprophila, 438 nucleotides. RefSeq lists it as uncharacterized. Lineage: Eukaryota; Metazoa; Arthropoda; Insecta; Diptera; Sciaridae. The record is from RefSeq and is a predicted model, not a curated record.
CGAACAUUUCUAUUAUAAAAUCGAACGUUUCGAUAACAGAAAAUAAAAUGAACCUAAAAUUAAUUGCACUGGUCUUAGCUCUGCAUUUCACUAAGCAGACAGUUUCGUCCUUAACUACGCAAUAUGAAGAUUCAAAAAUUAUUUGGAUAAAACUUCCUCGACGUGUUCAGCAGUCUGAUCCAAAUGUGGAACGUCGACAAAAUCUUCCAACAGAUUUUUCACAAGAGCAAUUUGGAAGAGAAUUAAGUCAGCUGGAGUCCUCCAUGAAAUUUCCUACAUAUGGACCAAUUGUACAGCCAGAGUCUAAUUUAAUAUUUCCAUCCCCUGAGCAUCAAACAUCCAACAGAUAACAGCAACAAAAAAAAUAGCUUCGCAGGAAACACAAUAAUUAAAUUGGUUUUAAUUUCAUGAAAUAAAUAAUUUUUCGAAAUUUUAAAA